AACGUAGGAGACAAACGUUAUCCGGAGUUACUGGGCGUAAAGGGCGUGUAGGUGGUUAUGUAAGUCUGGCGUGAAAUUUUUCGGCUUAACCGGGAAAGGUCGUCGGAUACUGCAAAACUAGAGGACGGUAGAGGCGUGUGGAAUUCCGGGUGUAGUGGUGAAAUGCGUAGAGAUCCGGAGGAACACCGGUGGCGAAGGCGACACGCUGGGCCGUACCUGACGCUGAUGCGCGACAGCAUGGGGAGCAAACAGG
This 253-nucleotide ribosomal RNA is filed under the name uncultured bacterium. Its description in RNAcentral is "partial 16S ribosomal RNA". It matches the Rfam family "Bacterial small subunit ribosomal RNA", at positions 524 to 776 of the family's 1533-position model. The record is from RNAcentral.